CUACGGGGGGCUGCAGUAAGGAAUAUUGGGCAAUGGACGGAAGUCUGACCCAGCCAUCCCGCGUGCAGGAAGAAUGCCCUAUGGGUUGUAAACUGCUUUUGUUUGGGAAGAAAUGUACUUUUUCAAGAGUAUUUGACGGUACCAGACGAAUAAGCACCGGCUAACUCCGUGCCAGCAGCCGCGGUAAUACGGAGGGUGCAAGCGUUAUCCGGAAUCACUGGGUUUAAAGGGUGCGUAGGCGGCCAGAUAAGUCAGAGGGGAAAGUUUCCGGCUCAACCGGGGGAUUGCCUUUGAUACUGUUUGGCUUGAAUCAGAUUGAGGUUGGCGGAAUGUGACAUGUAGCGGUGAAAUGCAUAGAUAUGUCAUAGAACAUCGAUUGCGAAGGCAGCUGGCUGGAUCUGUAUUGACGCUGAGGCACGAAAGCGUGGGGAGCAAACAGGAUUAGAUACCCCGGUAGUC
Molecule: ribosomal RNA, 459 nt
Filed under: uncultured bacterium
Lineage: Bacteria
Description: partial 16S ribosomal RNA
Rfam family: Bacterial small subunit ribosomal RNA
Source: RNAcentral